UCCCCCGUAGUGUAACGGUAGCACAACAGAUUCUGGUUCUGUUUGUCGAGGUUCGAAUCCUCGCGGGGGAU
This 71-nucleotide transfer RNA is filed under the name Stratiformator vulcanicus. It matches the Rfam family "tRNA". Rfam says of the family: Transfer RNA (tRNA) molecules are approximately 80 nucleotides in length. The record is from Rfam by way of RNAcentral. Lineage: Bacteria; Pseudomonadati; Planctomycetota; Planctomycetia; Planctomycetales; Planctomycetaceae.